UGGGGAAUAUUGCACAAUGGGGGAAACCCUGAUGCAGCGACGCCGCGUGAGGGAAGAAGGUUUUCGGAUUGUAAACCUCUGUCCUCAGGGAAGAAAAUGACGGUACCUGAGGAGGAAGCCACGGCUAACUACGUGCCAGCAGCCGCGGUAAUACGUAGGUGGCAAGCGUUGUCCGGAAUUACUGGGUGUAAAGGGAGCGUAGGCGGGUGAGCAAGUUGAAUGUUAAAGGUAGGAGCUUAACUCCUACAUGCGUUCAAAACUGUUCAUCUUGAGUGAAGUAGAGGCAGGCGGAAUUCCUAGUGUAGCGGUGAAAUGCGUAAAUAUUAGGAGGAACACCAGUGGCGAAGGCGGCCUGCUGGGCUUUAACUGACGCUGAGGCUCGAAAGCGUGGGUAGCAAACA
The sequence is a ribosomal RNA, 401 nucleotides long. It matches the Rfam family "Bacterial small subunit ribosomal RNA", at positions 355 to 774 of the family's 1533-position model.